This 332-nucleotide ribosomal RNA is filed under the name uncultured Sphingobacteriales bacterium. Its description in RNAcentral is "bacterial SSU rRNA". It matches the Rfam family "Bacterial small subunit ribosomal RNA", at positions 1050 to 1382 of the family's 1533-position model. The record is from RNAcentral. Lineage: Bacteria; Pseudomonadati; Bacteroidota; Sphingobacteriia; Sphingobacteriales.
UGUCGUCAGCUCGUGCCGUGAGGUGUCGGCUUAAGUGCCAUAACGAGCGCAACCCUACCUUUAGUUGCCAUCAGGUAAUGCUGGGGACUCUAAAGGAACUGCCUACGCAAGUAGUGAGGAAGGCGGGGAUGACGUCAAAUCAGCACGGCCCUUACGUCCAGGGCUACACACGUGCUACAAUGGCCGAUACAGAGGGCAGCUACCUGGUGACAGGAUGCAAAUCUCCAAAGUCGGUCUCAGUUCGGAUCGGAGUCUGCAACCCGACUCCGUGAAGUUGGAUUCGCUAGUAAUCGCGCAUCAGCCAUGGCGCGGUGAAUACGUUCCCGGGCCUU